AAUUGAUUUGUGUCUGUUUACUCACCCUCCAAAAUCGUUUUAAUCUGUUCACCCCGGGCAGUUUGGAGGCGUUCAUCCCUGUGAAGGUAGGUAUCCCCUUGUAGCUGCCAGGAUGUCUGGUGGCCGUGCAAUGAGAUGCCUGGGGAUUCUCACAGAAGGGACACUCCCUGGCUUUUAGCGAUGCUGCUUACUAAGACCACAGUUUGCUGGCAGCCCGGAGCAGCCAAUAGCUGAGCCGGACGUUUCAGCCUCUGGGGAGCAGGGAGCAGAGCUGCCCCACACCAGUGGAGGAGCCUCUGACCUGGUCCAGGGCUCAGCCUCCCGGGGGGGCAACGAUGCUUUCUGAACAGCCCUGUCCACCUACUCCUCCUGCAGAUGGGUCUGGAGUCCUGGAUUGGAAACCAUGCUCUGCUCUGAGAAAGACUCGCUCAUGUUCAUCUCAACUCAGUCACCAGCCUGAAGCUGAGGGCCCUGAUGCUCGGCUGCCUCCGGCUCCUGAGUUGGCUCUGACCCUGGACAGGUGAUGGACGGAACAAAGCUGGACCGCACUACUCACGGCACCUGGCCCAGGGACAUCGCUGGUUUAAGUCACAGAGGUGACCUGGGCUUGCACAGACUAACCCCUGACCCAGGAAGGGUGUCCUCUGU
Molecule: long non-coding RNA, 648 nt
Filed under: Heterocephalus glaber (naked mole-rat)
Lineage: Eukaryota; Metazoa; Chordata; Mammalia; Rodentia; Bathyergidae
Description: lncRNA (ENSHGLG00000038538.1)
Source: RNAcentral